Long non-coding RNA from Chenopodium quinoa (quinoa), 2485 nucleotides. RefSeq lists it as uncharacterized. The transcript has 2 exons. Lineage: Eukaryota; Viridiplantae; Streptophyta; Magnoliopsida; Caryophyllales; Amaranthaceae. The record is from RefSeq and is a predicted model, not a curated record.
ACCCCCGAUUCUUUUUCCGUCGAGCCGCCUCGAUCACCAUCCAUUUCUCAUCGACUUUCGCGGUCGUUGUGGCUGUUCGGUGUAGAAGGUGGUGGUUGACACGGUUGUGGUUGAUGGACUAAUGUUAGAGAAUGAAAUGGAAAAAAAAAAGUUAGUAAGGGCAAUAUCGUCAGUUUGCUUGAAAUGAUGGCGGUGACGAUAAAUUUUAACGGCGGUAUUUAACACCCCAAAAAAAAAUAUAAUAAAAUCUUCCGUUUAGUUGCAAAGACGGGAACGGGUAUUUUUUUGGGGGGUGGGGGGAAUUUUGCGCCAAAAUGCUGCUGAGGUCAUUGCUUUCCCAAAAUUGAAAGAAAAGGAAGAGAGAGAAAGCUUCAAUCUUCAACUCUUCAACCAAAACUUCAACAAAAAUACAAAGAACGAUGAAUCUAAGUUUUCAAGCUGCAAAACUUAGGACUAUGGCAAGUUUUCGAUUUUUUUAUUUUAUCAGUUUUUUACAAAAAUGUGGUAGCUAGGGAUUUGGGUUUGUUUUAGGUUCGGUCAUUUUGGAUAGAUGAAUUUAGGGUUUUUGGAAAUUUUUGAUUUUGGUGUUUGAUUUUUCUGUUUUUGUUUGAUGUUUUACCAUUUAGAGCUAUGAUUUGAAGUUUCGAAAGUUUGGUUUUUGUGAUAAUGGGGUCAUUUUGAUUUAUUUUUAAUUGUCAGUCUCGUUGAUUUUAGCCUGUUCGAGCUUAAUAGUGAUGGGUUUUUUUCACUUCAAUUUGAAUUCUUUUAGGGACAUUUCUGGGUAUUAUGUUUCUUGGACUUGAAAUUAUUGCUUUAUUAAGAAAUGGAGAUCAACUUUUAUGGUUUCCGACAUAAGCUUGGAUAUUUGAUUUAAGAAUUCUAAUGAGUGAUGUUCACCAAGUGUGAGCUGAUUUUCUCAAUUGUACAAGUCUCGUUUCCGUGAGUCAUUUUUAUGUUAAAUGAUUAAAUUUGAUUGUUGAGCUUUACUGUGUGAUGGCUGAAUUAGUGUUUCUAGAGGAGAUAAUAUACUGUACGAUAUCCAAGCAUCUUUUUUGCUGACCAUAAUCAAAGUGUGAUUUUAUGAUCUUUUGUUCUUGAGUUAUAAUGUUUCCUGUUCUUGAGAUUAUAUAAACUAAUUCUAAAUCUUGUGGAAUAUAUUGUAUUGUUUUAUUUAGAUUAAUGUGUAUGCUACUAUAAAUGUUGGUUCUUAUGUUAGUUUGACUUUUGAGUGAGGUAGAAUGGUGGCAUAGAUUUGACUUGAGAUAUUAUGGAAUGAUUAUCUUUGAUGAUUAGUUUAAGGAUUAGGAUAGACCUGGCUACUCUAUCAACUUAUUUCGGGUAAAAAAAAUUAGGUAAUUGAUGAGCACUAGCUUGUAUGUCAACUUAGAGGGGAGCUAGGAUAAACUGAAUCUACAGCUUGUAUGUCAAAGUCCAGACAUAGUAGGGCAUGUUGUAUGUGUUAGUUAGAGGAAUUCAGAUCUUAUUUUCUUGUUCUAAUAUUAUUGGUAGCUAGAUACUAGUACACUCUGGAGCUAGUAGAAGUCCUGCUAAGCAGGGGGAUGGAAUUGGAGUUGUAUCCUAAAUCUGUUAAAUCUAAGCUGAAGAUGAAAACGUAGGCGCAUAUGCGAAAUGGGGUGCUUAAGAAGCUCAAUAAGAAAAGAAAUUGGAAUUCUCUUCUUUGGUAGUGAGCCCUGGCAAGCAGCUGCUGAAGCAAUCAGAUCAGAAAAGGAAGGCUGAAUCCAUCAGAAGGAGAUUGAUUCAUAAACCAGAUGUUUCCGAAGGCCAUCGAGUUGAUUCUUCUAAGAAGAAGAAUUGUGAAGAGAGUCGGGGUGAUCGAUCUUUAUGCUCAAGUUCUAAAGGUACCGGAGAAAAGAGCCCAAUUGGUUGAACGUUCUUCAGCUGCAAGGAUCCCUACAAUGUGGGGGCCUUUCACAGCUUAUUGUUACAAGUCAAACCUGGAUGGCAUAUGAUCGUCCCAUUGCCACGACUCGUGUUGUUCGGAAAUCCGUGGAUAAAAAGGUUCCCGGAAUCUUGAAGUUGAGCUGCUACGAAACCAGCUGUAGGAUGAGUGACAUUGGAUGACCAAACAGUCUGAUAUUUUUGCAUCAGAGACUUGCAGAUUUCCGUCGAGUGAUAUCUUAAGUACACCCGAAGUAUCAGUGAGGGGAUUGUUCCUGUUAGCUAUCCAUACAAGAUACAACUUCCAUUUCAGAAGGGUGAUUAUACUAUACCAGAUUCCAACAUAACGAUUGGAAGAGUUUUGAGGGCUGAAAAAUCCUAGCUUGAAAAUGCUAUUUUUAGAAAGCAUUGAUUCUGAGUCUUUUAGGAAUUGUGUUGGUGUAAUACUGUCAAUUGCAGAGUAGAUUUUAGAACUGAAAAGAAGAGUGUAUGGAAUUAAUGCAAAAAUAGGUAUCAUUCUUUGCUUAAUUGAUUAUAUCAUGGAACAUUUGGCAAUUUAGAGAUAAUAUAAGGGCUCUGAAGGUAA